AACGAACGCUGGCGGCAUGCCUAACACAUGCAAGUCGAACGAGACCUUCGGGUCUAGUGGCGCACGGGUGCGUAACGCGUGGGAACCUGCCCUUAGGUUCGGAAUAACUCCCCGAAAGGGGUGCUAAUACCGGAUAAUGUCUUCGGACCAAAGAUUUAUCGCCUUUGGAUGGGCCCGCGUUGGAUUAGCUAGUUGGUAGGGUAAAAGCCUACCAAGGCGACGAUCCAUAGCUGGUCUGAGAGGAUGAUCAGCCACACUGGGACUGAGACACGGCCCAGACUCCUACGGGAGGCAGCAGUGGGGAAUAUUGGACAAUGGGCGUAAGCCUGAUCCAGCAAUGCCGCGUGAGUGAUGAAGGCCUUAGGGUUGUAAAGCUCUUUUACCCGGGAUGAUAAUGACAGUACCGGGAGAAUAAGCUCCGGCUAACUCCGUG
RNAcentral lists this ribosomal RNA (433 nucleotides) under uncultured bacterium. RNAcentral's name for it is "partial 16S ribosomal RNA". It matches the Rfam family "Bacterial small subunit ribosomal RNA", at positions 29 to 507 of the family's 1533-position model. The record is from RNAcentral.